This 1261-nucleotide long non-coding RNA is filed under the name Salmo salar (Atlantic salmon). Its description in RNAcentral is "lncRNA (ENSSSAG00000005298.2)". Lineage: Eukaryota; Metazoa; Chordata; Actinopteri; Salmoniformes; Salmonidae. The record is from RNAcentral.
CCAGAAGUAAAAUCUUGCGUAAUUUGGUCAUCAGAAUCUGCCCAUGGGAGAUUACCUUCAAUUUUGUACAUUUUAGUCAUUUAGCAGAUGCUCUUAUCUAGAGCAACUUACAAUUAAAAUAACUUUAUGUUCAUCUGUAUUGCAUUUGACACAGGUGUUAGAUUUGUCCUACAACAAUCUGUCUGGAGAUGUCUGUUGGUCUACUUCUCUAUCUGAAAGUCUUUCAUCUCACCGGGAAUCAGCUUCAGGCCCUUCCUCCCAACAAGGCUGCCCCUCGCCAUGACCUCUCACAGCUACUACAGCAUUGAAACCUGCAGGGGAACCACAUCUCAGUAGUACCAGAGGUGUUACCAAGGAACCUGCAACAGAAGGGGUAUUUGCAACACCAGCAGGUGUCUCUCAAACAAAAUUGUGAUGAACAGGACUUCAGGAAUCCCCCUGUCUCUGAGGGGUAGGAGACUGAAUACAUUAAUGGAUGUGUGGUCAAUCCAAAAAACGAUUCCCCCACUCACAUAUUCCUUGACACUGGGGCUGAGGACAGAGAGGAAUUGUAUGGAGUAUACGGUUUGCCACCACCAGAGCUUUGUUUCCUCAAUGUGGCUGACAAUAAGGUGCCCCCCUACUGCUGACUUACUUCCUCCAGGAAAGGCUGGGUAUUAGAAUUAGGUAAAAAUGAAAAUUCCAAAGGUGCCUUUAUUGAUGCUCCUUGACGCUGCUGGCUCUCUGGAGGUGAAAGAUGUUGAAGAUCACACUAUACAAUAGUCAUCAGAUGACCCUUCCAAAAUGAGGAGUCAUUCUUUUGUGGUGGCUGCUGAGGGAAGAACUUUUCAUAACAGUGGCGGUCAGUGCUGUUUAUGAUGAGGGAGGAAUUUAUUAAUUUUUUUCCUUCGUGAGCAUGUCCUCUAUUACAGCGUGUUGGAUGACUGUCAUUCAUAUUGUAUUCACCCAGUUCAAUGUAACAUUGAUGGUUUAGGCUAUUACAUGAUUCUCAAAUUUUCCCUAUACCCACCAUGAUGUUGCUACAACCUAGUUUAUGUCAUUUAAGAUUAGACAGUGACACAUUCAAUACUGCCUUGCCUGCAUCGCUUAUCUAGUGUGUAAUUAUUAGUACAACAGUUACAAACAUGUUUCUAUUGGCCAAAUCCUAGUGUUUUCUUUAUUUUUAUCCUAAUUUUGUUUGCUUCCGUUUUAAGAAAUGUUUUUCAACAGAAUCGUCGGAAUGAAUAAACCCCUGAUCACAAAUAAACAAAGUUCAGCCUCA